This 1139-nucleotide ribosomal RNA is filed under the name Salmonella enterica. RNAcentral's name for it is "bacterial SSU rRNA". It matches the Rfam family "Bacterial small subunit ribosomal RNA", at positions 1 to 1134 of the family's 1533-position model. The record is from RNAcentral. Lineage: Bacteria; Pseudomonadati; Pseudomonadota; Gammaproteobacteria; Enterobacterales; Enterobacteriaceae.
AAAUUGAAGAGUUUGAUCAUGGCUCAGAUUGAACGCUGGCGGCAGGCCUAACACAUGCAAGUCGAACGGUAACAGGAAGCAGCUUGCUGCUUUGCUGACGAGUGGCGGACGGGUGAGUAAUGUCUGGGAAACUGCCUGAUGGAGGGGGAUAACUACUGGAAACGGUGGCUAAUACCGCAUAACGUCGCAAGACCAAAGAGGGGGACCUUCGGGCCUCUUGCCAUCAGAUGUGCCCAGAUGGGAUUAGCUAGUUGGUGAGGUAACGGCUCACCAAGGCGACGAUCCCUAGCUGGUCUGAGAGGAUGACCAGCCACACUGGAACUGAGACACGGUCCAGACUCCUACGGGAGGCAGCAGUGGGGAAUAUUGCACAAUGGGCGCAAGCCUGAUGCAGCCAUGCCGCGUGUAUGAAGAAGGCCUUCGGGUUGUAAAGUACUUUCAGCGGGGAGGAAGGUGUUGUGGUUAAUAACCGCAGCAAUUGACGUUACCCGCAGAAGAAGCACCGGCUAACUCCGUGCCAGCAGCCGCGGUAAUACGGAGGGUGCAAGCGUUAAUCGGAAUUACUGGGCGUAAAGCGCACGCAGGCGGUCUGUCAAGUCGGAUGUGAAAUCCCCGGGCUCAACCUGGGAACUGCAUUCGAAACUGGCAGGCUUGAGUCUUGUAGAGGGGGGUAGAAUUCCAGGUGUAGCGGUGAAAUGCGUAGAGAUCUGGAGGAAUACCGGUGGCGAAGGCGGCCCCCUGGACAAAGACUGACGCUCAGGUGCGAAAGCGUGGGGAGCAAACAGGAUUAGAUACCCUGGUAGUCCACGCCGUAAACGAUGUCUACUUGGAGGUUGUGCCCUUGAGGCGUGGCUUCCGGAGCUAACGCGUUAAGUAGACCGCCUGGGGAGUACGGCCGCAAGGUUAAAACUCAAAUGAAUUGACGGGGGCCCGCACAAGCGGUGGAGCAUGUGGUUUAAUUCGAUGCAACGCGAAGAACCUUACCUGGUCUUGACAUCCACAGAAGAAUCCAGAGAUGGAUUUGUGCCUUCGGGAACUGUGAGACAGGUGCUGCAUGGCUGUCGUCAGCUCGUGUUGUGAAAUGUUGGGUUAAGUCCCGCAACGAGCGCAACCCUUAUCCUUUGUUGCCAGCGGUCCGG